AUACGUAGGGUGCAAGCGUUAAUCGGAAUUACUGGGCGUAAAGCGUGCGCAGGCGGUUUUGUAAGACAGUGGUGAAAUCCCCGGGCUCGACCUGGGAACUGCCAUUGUGACUACAAAGCUGGGGUGCGGCAGAGGGGGAUGGAAUUCCGCGUGUAGCAGUGAAAUGCGUAGAUAUGCGGGGGUACACCGGUGGCAAAGGCAAUCCCCCUGUCCUGCUCUGACGUUCAUGCACCAAAGCGUUGGGAGCAAACAGGAUUGUAUAACCUGGUAGUCCACUCCCUAAACUAGGUCAACUGGUUGUUGGGGAUUUAUUUUCUCAUUAACUAAGCUAACGCGUGUAGGUGACAGCCUGGGGAGUACGGCCGCAAGGUUAAAACUCAAAUGAAUUGACGGGG
This 395-nucleotide ribosomal RNA is filed under the name uncultured bacterium. RNAcentral's name for it is "partial 16S ribosomal RNA". It matches the Rfam family "Bacterial small subunit ribosomal RNA", at positions 523 to 918 of the family's 1533-position model. The record is from RNAcentral.